Molecule: ribosomal RNA, 1025 nt
Filed under: Escherichia coli
Lineage: Bacteria; Pseudomonadati; Pseudomonadota; Gammaproteobacteria; Enterobacterales; Enterobacteriaceae
Description: partial 23S ribosomal RNA
Rfam family: Bacterial large subunit ribosomal RNA
Source: RNAcentral
AAACCCAGUGUGUUUCGACACACUAUCAUUAACUGAAUCCAUAGGUUAAUGAGGCGAACCGGGGGAACUGAAACAUCUAAGUACCCCGAGGAAAAGAAAUCAACCGAGAUUCCCCCAGUAGCGGCGAGCGAACGGGGAGCAGCCCAGAGCCUGAAUCAGUAUGUGUGUUAGUGGAAGCGUCUGGAAAGGCGCGCGAUACAGGGUGACAGCCCCGUACACAAAAAUGCACAUGCUGUGAGCUCGAUGAGUAGGGCGGGACACGUGGUAUCCUGUCUGAAUAUGGGGGGACCAUCCUCCAAGGCUAAAUACUCCUGACUGACCGAUAGUGAACCAGUACCGUGAGGGAAAGGCGAAAAGAACCCCGGCGAGGGGAGUGAAAAAGAACCUGAAACCGUGUACGUACAAGCAGUGGGAGCACGCUUAGGCGUGUGACUGCGUACCUUUUGUAUAAUGGGUCAGCGACUUAUAUUCUGUAGCAAGGUUAACCGAAUAGGGGAGCCGAAGGGAAACCGAGUCUUAACUGGGCGUUAAGUUGCAGGGUAUAGACCCGAAACCCGGUGAUCUAGCCAUGGGCAGGUUGAAGGUUGGGUAACACUAACUGGAGGACCGAACCGACUAAUGUUGAAAAAUUAGCGGAUGACUUGUGGCUGGGGGUGAAAGGCCAAUCAAACCGGGAGAUAGCUGGUUCUCCCCGAAAGCUAUUUAGGUAGCGCCUCGUGAAUUCAUCUCCGGGGGUAGAGCACUGUUUCGGCAAGGGGGUCAUCCCGACUUACCAACCCGAUGCAAACUGCGAAUACCGGAGAAUGUUAUCACGGGAGACACACGGCGGGUGCUAACGUCCGUCGUGAAGAGGGAAACAACCCAGACCGCCAGCUAAGGUCCCAAAGUCAUGGUUAAGUGGGAAACGAUGUGGGAAGGCCCAGACAGCCAGGAUGUUGGCUUAGAAGCAGCCAUCAUUUAAAGAAAGCGUAAUAGCUCACUGGUCGAGUCGGCCUGCGCGGAAGAUGUAACGGGGCUAAACCAUG